Molecule: long non-coding RNA, 398 nt
Filed under: Cricetulus griseus (Chinese hamster)
Lineage: Eukaryota; Metazoa; Chordata; Mammalia; Rodentia; Cricetidae
Description: lncRNA (ENSCGRG00015039159.1)
Source: RNAcentral
GGAAGCCACUGACAGAUGAACCCUCGAAACCAGUGACUCUGGGAGGUCUCGUCUACAUGGAGGAUUUUAUUACUCAUCCUCAGUGGUAGUGAAAUGCCCUUGUGGAUACCAUCAGGUACAACAGAUGCGACACCAUGCAGACACGCAGCUGUGAAUGGCAGUUCAGAGCUCAACAUAGACUUGUGCUAUGAACAGGGCCUCAGGCCACGUGGACUUGCCUGUGAGCAGCCUGCUCUCCUGCCCAGGGCCCUUUUGUGCUGAGUGAGUGACAGGCAGGAAGCCACUGAGGAAGACAUGAGGUGAACCGCCUCCAGGUGCCAUGGGCAUUGUAGUGAUGUCAGAGUGACAGCCAUCCAAGCUGGAGCUCUCUGUGGUGUGUGCUGGAGAUGUGGGCGGCG